Molecule: long non-coding RNA, 1307 nt
Filed under: Homo sapiens (human)
Lineage: Eukaryota; Metazoa; Chordata; Mammalia; Primates; Hominidae
Description: uncharacterized LOC102724220, transcript variant 3 (LOC102724220)
Source: RNAcentral
CUGUAGGCUGCUGCUGGAGCUGUGCGGCUUUGGGUAGGUGGCCUGGGCACUAUGUGUUCACCAAACGCACUUCCCUUCCAUCCUGGGUGCAAGGCGACCUCCGAUCCCAGCCUUUCCUGUUGGGCUCAGCAAUGGAAACAAGCAGUGGGGCCCUGCGCUCCAUGCAGGGUGGAUCUAGAACCUUCCGAGGACUUGAAACCCUCAGAGGGGGACAGGGUGGGGAGACACAGAGAAGGCCCAGGAAUGACCUUGUGGGAAGUCGCUUAUCCACCAGGAACUCUGGUGCUGAACUUUUUCUAAGCGAAAGUUAACUUCUGUUGGAUUAAGACCCUGAAGAUUGGGCUUUAACACCUGUUGUGUUACCUGCACUCAAACAAACCAGGGCUCCUUACUCAGCCCUCGGGAGCCUUGGCAUUCUCACCUCUAAAGCAGGAGGAGUCGUGAUACCUGCCUUGAGGAAUUUGAGCAAAGUUAAACGACCUGAACUAUUUGGGCGUUUCUUGACCAAUGUCCGACCUUGGGAGGUGCUGGAUGAAUUUUUAUUUCUCUACUUUAAGUCAGCCUUUCUACCUUGUUGCUCUUCUCAGCUGCCUUUCUCUGAGCCUCCUUCAUCACUCUGUUCAUUUCUGUGAGACAAAGAUCAUUACAACUGCCUUAAUAUUUCGGUGCAAGACGCACCGUGACCUGACAUUGCUCUACCCCGCCUCCUGCCACGAUCAUUCUUUUGUAGCAAUAUUCCGCCAGCUUCAUUUCAUGCAGUGAGUGGAACAAGAGUCAGAACACCAGGGCGGCUGAGCCUAUCGAUCAAGCCUCCACCUAAUGACAGACAUACUUGAGUCCCACAGUCAUAAGGAGGAUGAAGUCUCUCUCUGGCUGGACCUGGACUGCAGUCACACUCUAAGAGCUCCUCUUUCUACACCUCUGCCAGUGGGCGUUCGGUCAGAGACAAGCUAUGGCACCGGCUCCCGGACGCACGGGAGGACUCCUACCAGGGACAGAGUCCGCACAGGUACCAGAGCAAUGAGGAAGCAGGACCCAGACCCCUGACUCCUAACUCCAGGUGAAGUCCACCCUGAGCUCAGGAGCAGAGCUGCCUCCAUCGGGUGUGGAGAGACAGAGCCUCCUCCCCAGCCAUGCCUCCUCAUCGGCCCACGGGAGCUGCUGUGACUCUGACCCCUGUACCUGGCUCUGUCGACCGGAAUAGUCAGUGGGCAGCCAGCACACCUUUGGGUGCUCUGUAUGAGUGGGAUUUUCUCCUGAUUAGACAUUUUAAAAGAUUGUCAACAAAAAGAACAAACUCUGUAAAA